This 440-nucleotide ribosomal RNA is filed under the name uncultured bacterium. Its description in RNAcentral is "partial 16S ribosomal RNA". It matches the Rfam family "Bacterial small subunit ribosomal RNA", at positions 338 to 795 of the family's 1533-position model. The record is from RNAcentral.
CCUACGGGUGGCAGCCGUGGGGAAUAUUGCACAAUGGUGGAAACACUGAUGCAGCGAAGCCGCGUGAGUGAAGAAGUAUCUGGGUACGUUAAGCUCUAUCAGCAGGGAAGCUAAUGCCGGUACCUGUCCACGAAGCCCCGGAUAACUACGUGCCAGCAGCCGCGGCAAUACGUAGGGGGCAAGCGUUAUCCGGAUUUACUGGGUGUAAAGGGGGCGUAGACGGCUGCACAAGUCUGGAGUGAAAUCCCGGGGCUUAACCCCGGGACUGCUUUGGAAACUGUGCGUCUGGAGUGCAGGAGGGGUAAGCGGAAUGCGUAGUGUAGCGGUGAAAUGCAUAGAUAUUAGGCGGAACACCGAUGGCGAAGGCGGCUUACUGGAUUGUAACUGACGUUGAGGCUCGAAAGCGUGGGUAGCGAACAGGAUUAGAUACCCUUGUAGUC